This 18-nucleotide small nuclear RNA is filed under the name Arabidopsis thaliana (thale cress). RNAcentral's name for it is "snRNA_10204". Lineage: Eukaryota; Viridiplantae; Streptophyta; Magnoliopsida; Brassicales; Brassicaceae. The record is from RNAcentral.
UUCAAAAUACACAAGUUC